UUUUGCCUUGUAGAAGAUUUGC
This 22-nucleotide non-coding RNA is filed under the name Mus musculus (house mouse). The record is from RNAcentral. Lineage: Eukaryota; Metazoa; Chordata; Mammalia; Rodentia; Muridae.